AGAAUCAACGCUGGCGGCGUGCCUAACACAUGCAAGUCGCACGAGAAAGGGGAGCAAUCCCUGAGUAAAGUGGCGCACGGGUGAGUAACACGUGAAUAAUCUACCUCCGAGUGGGGAAUAACUGAGAGAAAUCUUAGCUAAUACCGCAUAACACUUACGAGUCAAAGCAGCAAUGCGCUUGGAGAGGAGUUCGCGGCCGAUUAGUUAGUUGGCGGGGUAAUGGCCCACCAAGACGAUGAUCGGUAUCCGGCCUGAGAGGGCGCACGGACACACUGGAACUGAAACACGGUCCAGACUCCUACGGGAGGCAGCAGUGGGGAAUUUUGCGCAAUGGGGGAAACCCUGACGCAGCAACGCCGCGUGGAGGAUGAAGCCCCUUGGGGUGUAAACUCCUUUCGAUCGGGAAGAUAAUGACGGUACCGAUAUAAGAAGCCCCGGACUAACUUCGCGCCAGCAGCCGC
This 461-nucleotide ribosomal RNA is filed under the name uncultured bacterium. RNAcentral describes it as "SSU rRNA". It matches the Rfam family "Bacterial small subunit ribosomal RNA", at positions 26 to 518 of the family's 1533-position model. The record is from RNAcentral.